Molecule: transfer-messenger RNA, 329 nt
Filed under: Alphaproteobacteria bacterium
Lineage: Bacteria; Pseudomonadati; Pseudomonadota; Alphaproteobacteria
Rfam family: Alphaproteobacteria transfer-messenger RNA
About the family: Bacterial tmRNA, also known as 10Sa RNA or SsrA, is named for its dual tRNA and mRNA-like properties. Its role is to liberate the mRNA from a stalled ribosome. To accomplish this part of the tmRNA is used as a reading frame that ends in a translation stop signal.
Source: RNAcentral
CAUCUUUCAUUUACCCGCAAUAAUCCCUAUAUUAUCCGGGUCGGCUUGCCGACUAUGGCGAUAAACGUCACUCGUAAUAAGCGUUGCGGACCCGGGGGCAGUGCCCGGCGCCUCCACCAUUAUUCGCCGUGACCCUCGGAGUCAUGGCCACUCAUGGGGGCGAACCAGGAUCGACGUGCGUGGUAAAGGGGUGAUUUUUGCUCGGCAUGGCACCACCGUUAUCGGGCUAACAUUAGAACUGCCAAUGACAAUGAGCCUUUGGCAAUCGCUGCUUAAUUUAAUUAGGUAAGCGCGGCUCGGGGGGCGCCGGGCAACAGAAGCCCCCCACU